This is a long non-coding RNA of Nicotiana attenuata, 1017 nucleotides long. RefSeq lists it as uncharacterized. The transcript is spliced from 3 exons. NCBI's taxonomy places the organism in Eukaryota, Viridiplantae, Streptophyta, Magnoliopsida, Solanales, Solanaceae. The record is from RefSeq and is a predicted model, not a curated record.
CGGGUUUUAUUAUGCUCAUCACCUUUCACCGUUGUACUUCUCUAUUUUCUCCAACAGUUCUCAGUUUCUCUCCUGGAAAUAUCAAUUCUUCUGUUGAGCCUUUCUCUAAUAUUGUACUGCCCUUUUUUAUUUGCGUUGCUUCCUGUUUUAUUAGUCUUUUAUUGAGAAUUUGUGAAUAAAAAAUAUAGUUCUGUUGGUUUUCAAAUAAAGUACUGAUUAAAAAUAUGUGAAUAAAAAAUUAUUGUUCUGUUGGUUCUAGAAUAAAGCACUGAAAGCUCUUUCUUUGGGUCAGUAUUAUGGUUAAAAUUUUAAUUACAUCUUCUACAGAUUGAGCUGCCACACUUCUAACAAAAUUCGUAUGAUUGCUAAAAUUGCAAAAGUGCAUGGGAUAGGUUUCCAAAGAAAAUAUUAAUUUUGUUUUCCUAACUUUGGGUAUCGAGGCAUCGAAAGGUAAAACUUUGGGUAUCGAGGCAAGCACCGCAGUAGGAUACGAUUCUUCUCAAACGGUUAUGGGUGUCUUUGUUUGUGCCUAAGUAUAUGAAUGUUGUGAGCUAUGAAGUAUAUGUCCAUCUUGCUGACUGCAACAAAUGCUUGUGCUCGCAUUCAUCUGCUGAGGACUAAACAACUAGAAUGUUGUUCAAGCAGUUGGCAGUUAGACAAUGGAAUGAGGAACUACUGGAUACUGUGACUCGAAGCUGUGGAAAGGGAAUGUGCUGUUGUUCUUUUGUCUACAAAAUGGCAUUUUUACUGUAAAUUUAAACUUCGUUCAACUUUAACUACCACUGCUAUGUAAAAAAGAACUAAGAAAAUUGAAUACGAAGGUUGAGCAAGGAAUGUCUGUUGUCUUUCUGUUGUCUGCUAUUGGUCUUGUAAUAGGUCUUAUGGCCAAUCUCAUCUAGUAUAUGAAUCAACAGUCUCAGCUAGAUAUAGGAUUUUUAGUUAGUAGAUUAGAUAUGAUGUAACAUUAUAAUAAUUAUAUCUUGUGGCAAUAUGAGCAUUCUUAAUAAUAUUCAAUUA